AAAAUUAUUAACUAUUCAUUCAUUGAUCUUCCCACACCAUCUAAUAUUACUACAUGAUGCAACUAUGGCUCGCUUCUUGGCACCUGCCUAAUUCUCCAGAUCAUUACAGGAUUAUUUUUGGCCAUACACUAUAUACCAGACACCUCAAAUGCCUUCUCUUCAUUCACCCAUAUUAGCUGAGAUGUAAAUUACAGCUGAAUGGUUGGCUAUUUUCAUGUUGAUGGCGCCUCAAUAUUUUUCAUCUGCCUCUUCCUACAUGUUGGCCGAGGCUUAUACUAUGGAUCAUUUAUAUUCCUAGAAACC
RNAcentral lists this long non-coding RNA (303 nucleotides) under Homo sapiens (human). Its description in RNAcentral is "non-protein coding lnc-KCNJ3-5:1". The record is from RNAcentral. Lineage: Eukaryota; Metazoa; Chordata; Mammalia; Primates; Hominidae.